ACUCUAAGUCCUUCACCGUUUCAAAGAAGCAAACUCCUAACAGAGAACUCAUGAGAAAUAUGAAGCUGCCCACAUCAACGGCUUCCUCCAGCUCCAUGAGGAUCUCCACUUAAAAUGCGAGAAUGGAAAGGAGCUGAGGCCAAACUCACUGCCAGGCAGCUCACUGACUAGGGAGUGUGUUCACUGUGGCAGUGAAGCCCUACCUUGAACACAGAAUGGGCUCCAACACCCAUCUCCCAGGCAUUCUCUGCAUUGAUGCUGGUAACGUGUUGACUCCAUCAUUACCGGGACAGUCACAAUGCUGAUUACUGGCAGCUGGGGAUGGAGCAGCUCGUCUCAGACUGUGUAACCUAUUGUUUCUAAAGAGCUUCCAGCUGCAGAAGCCUCCAAGCUCUUGGGCCAGCUGUGGAUUCUUUGCUGAGAUGGAGGUGUAACCGAGGAAGGGGCCUGAGAAGUAAGAAGGACGGAAAAUGAAAGCAAAGAGUUUGGAUGACCCGGGCCAUACACAGUGGCCAUGGAGCAGGAGACCAUCUUCCCUGAGGGAUGAGCCGAGGACUUGGCACUCCCCUGACCAUAAAUGGCUUGGCCAGGGCCCUCUUGGAGCCACCUCUUGCCCUGUCACCCUUGCUCUCCCAGCUGGAUGUUACUACAAAUGCGAGACACAAGCCAAUAACGCUAGCUAGAAAGGAGCUUGCCGAGGGCAGUGUUUGCAGAAGGUUCUCGGGAGGCUGUCGGAAAUGAGUUUUUCACUGAACUUUACACUGCCAGCCAACACGGUAAGUACAGCAGUCCCCGUCCACCAGGCAAGUCUGCAAAGAUCAAUGCGGGGUUUACGCUGAGCCUCCAGAACGCCCGCACACGAGCCUCAUGCGGGGGCAUCAGUGACACAGGUUGGCAAAGGCACUUAUGAAUGGUGGUGGGGAGGGGGUGCGGAGAGAAGUUUUUCCAAUUAUAAAAAUUAUAAAUAUACAUUUUGAAAAAGAAAAUAGCAAAAAACCAAAACACCUAAAUUCCCACGAGCAAAAAACAUUGGUGUCACUCCUUCCCCUCCUGUUUGACUCUUCAUAAAUUUUGACUUUUGUUGUCUUUGUACCAUUAUAUUCUCACUCUACAUAUAAUUUUAUAUGGUAAAUAUUUUCUAUCAACCUUUAUAACCAUAUCUGAGGAUGGUCACAUAAUAUUUCUUCAAGUGAAUUAUUUUUAAUUGAUUAAUCACAAUUAGAAAUAAGUUUCUGAUAAACAUAGGUAUAGAUAAAUCUUUGUCUGCCCUAAGAUGAUUUCCUUAGUACGUAGUCUAACAGGAGAAUUAUCAGGUCAACAAGAAUGAACAUUUUAUGGCUCUUGAUUGUGACGUUUAGUUGCAAGUCAACACAGAGCUUUUCAGUUGGUGGUGGCGGACAGUUUCAAUCCAGAGUUGGAUUGAGUGAUUUCAAUCCAUCUUCUGUUCUCACGUUGCGUAGAGAUAACAGCCAGAGUUGUUUUCUGACCAGGAGCACUGCUGUGAUUGAGCUGGGCAUUUUCCUGGCCGAGUUUUUUAGUGAGUUUGGCUGUGCCAAUUUUUCUAGUAAGUCAUGUGGUUAUUCAGAGAGAAUAAGCUGAAUCUCCCUGCCAGGAGGAUGCCCAAGCCAGAGCUCAUGGUUCCUGUAACACGGGCCGUAGUUCUGGAGGGAAGCAGAAAGGUAGAACCUUGUGGCUCCCUAUCGGCCUUCCGGUGCCUGCCACUGACUGCCGUGGACGUCUGUCCCCGACUGCCUGGCACCUGCACCACCUCCUGGGGGGCCCAGCCUUCUGAACCUCCCUGCUCCAGCCUCUGCCUGUCUGCUGUCUGCAGACCAAUUCCCCUAUCCCUCUCCUUAUCUGUCAAAACCUUAAUAUGGUCACUGCUGGAACUUCCUCCCUGGCUGCUCGAAGACAACAGGUCUGUAGAGACCCCAGGUUCUGUCUUAUCCUGGCUUGGCCCAUCCUGAGAAGGCCACUCAGAAAAGCAACAGGCCAUUGCUUGAGGCGGUGGAGGUGAGUGGGGUGAAGGGGAGGCCCUUGUGAUGCUGGUCCUCACCUUGUGGAGCAUUUCCUUGGUUAACAGCCUAUUUCUCUGGGAACUGUCCCCUCCACCCUUUGAACCUAUGCAGGGCAGCCAACCAUCCCGGACUGCCUGGGACUGUCUGGUUUUAGCACUGAACGUCCUGCAUCCUGGGCAACCUCUCUGGAAAACCAGGACACUUGGUCACCCUGCCUGGCAGUUAUGUUCUACCACAGGACAUUCCCUGUUGGUGCAGCUGAAUGACGGGGAGUGCCAGCGCCCCAGGAAGUGGGGGAGAGGUGAUGCCCGGCUCAUCAGAGUCCAGCCUCUCUGCAGGGGGUUUGGAACAGGGCCACAUAUGCAAGUCAGUCUCUGCUGGGCCACACUGAAGUGUCGAGUACAAAGGCUGGGUUGGGGUGCUGCAGCUGGUCAUGGAAGGCAGUGUAGCACAGUGGUUAAGGGAGCCACACCACUCAGCAUCCGCCACUUAGGGCCGUGUGAUCUCACAUGAGUUACUUCACUUCUCUGGGCCUCGCUCUUCUCAUCUGUAAAAUGGGGAUCACUAUAGUCCUGCCUCACUGGCUGUUGUGAAGAAUAAAUGAGCCGGUAGCAGGAAAAGUACUUGAACAGCCUGGCACAUGGUAUGUUCUCCAUAAUUGUUAGCUGGUACGAUUAGCAAGUGUUCACAAGGGCAGAAAAGUCCAUCUGGAGAGAGAAAGAAGAGCACAGGGAAAGGCCAUGCUGCCCAGGAGAGAAGGAGAGCCCCCGGGAGCAGGGGCUUUGCUCCUGACAGGUUCCCAGGUCCUAGCUCCAUGAGAUGCUGGAUUCCCGCUGCCCUCGGGCUCCACGAGGCACCCCGUGUCCUCAGAGUUAACUCCUUUGUGUUUUGGCCAAAGCCAGCCUAAGUGAAUUUCUGAAGUCUGAAGACAAAACCUCUUUCCCAAAACCGUGUUCGACUCUUCCGCCCCUUGAGAAAUAGAACAAUUUAGGCAAAAGGCAGCAUUAAGGUAAUGUGGGGGGUGGGGUGAGACCGCGUUUAGGUAAAAGUGUAGCCUCUUAAGUACCAAGCGUCAGAGCCUCGUAAUGGAACCCUCCUUUGAUGGGAGCCCUCUGGGAAAGAGGCCCAGGCUUGGAAUUCAAAUACCCAAGUUCAGAUUCGAUUUAUUUAAAAGCCCAAGCCCCAGGGACUCCAAUGUACUCACCGAGAUGGACGAGAGGACUAAAUAAAUAGCGAGCCUGACUAGAGCUUUGCUAAGUUUAAGGGGAUGAUGCUCGUUUGAUCGUCUGAUCCUCAUAACAACCCCAGAGGGAGGUGCUAACAUCCCUAUUUUAGAGAUGAAGAAAUGAGCUCCCUUAACUGGUGAGUGGAGAUGUCACCAUUCCACUCCAGGCAGUGUGAGCCCGGGACACACGCCGUCAGCGCCACACUGCACCACCUAGUGUACGCAGACGACACAGCUGGCCUCUAAUGUAGAACUCUGUUCCCUGAGAUUUACUGAUUGAGGUAAGACUCUUUCUAGAAAUAUCUCAUAAGUGGGUGAAAUCCAGUGCCCAUCCUUGAGUGGAGAUGUGCAACGGAAACACGCAACGUAUUCAUUGAAUGCGGAAUUAUCUCAGGAGCAAGGAUAAUUCACACCUUCCGAUAACUCAAUAACAAGGAAGGCUUCCUUAAAGAGCCUGACUUCCGCCAGUGUUUAUGUUUGUUUCCCUUCUAGCAAUGGGCACAAGUAGGCCGACAGUGUGCUGGGAAGACAUGGUGACUGAGAAAGCCUUUCUGAGUUUUAAAAUGUGUUAUGGUAAAUCCAGGGUGAAUAAUGAAGACCUCACUUGAAUUUCUGUAUUCUCUCUCCUUGUAGCCAAAUUUCACUGCCAUUCUUACCUGGGAAGCAAUCAAGUAGGGUUCUAUUUGGCAGUUGUCAUUUGUUGUUUUCAAUAGAAAGUUUGGCAGAUGGGUGAACUUCAGGCACUAUGGCUUAAUCUUUGGCAGACUGUCUUGUAUAACAUGCAUUCUAUAGAUUCUUUUCUUAAGAUGUGUGUUCUUCUUCCACACAGACUUCCUCCCCGGUUGUUACAGAUGGGAAAGGAGCAGUACGUAUAUCACUUAAAUGAUGGAGCCUCAGUUUGGUCAUUUAUAAAAUGGACAUAAUAAUGCUCUACUGUCUGGUGCAUUCGUUUUGAGGAUUAGAUAGCAUUUGAUAUAUGAACUGUCACCAAGCACAGAAUCUGGCUCAACUAUUAUUCUUAGGACCAACUCAGCUCAAAAGUGAGGGAUAAUGUGCAAAAUCACAGAUGGAUUUCACAAAUUGCUGAGCAAAAGAGGCUAGAAUCAGAAGAGUACAUACUUUCCAUUUGCAUCUAGAUGACAUUGAAAAACAGGCGAGUGAUUUCAGGAUGCUGGUUACACGUGCAGUGACUGGAAGGGAGCAAGAGGGGGCUUCUGGGGUGCUGGUAACAUUCUGUUUCUUCAUUUGGGUGCUGCUUACAUACAUGGGUCCAUCAUGUGAAAAGUCAUUCAGCUAUAUAUUUAUGAUUUACGUACUUUUCUGUAUGUAUGUUAUUCUUCAAUGAAAUCACCCUCCUUUCCCAAAAAGCGAAGGAGAAUCCAGCAUUAUAUGAGAGUUGCACAUUUAUAGGAAUUCUGCAAAUUAUCAUAUUUCUAGAUAAUCUGCAAAUCUGAAAACUUAUGCUGCUACAAGCAUGGCUCUUUCCACUCAGAUCAAAGCAAAGUGGGAAUUUGAAAAUUAAUUUGUUAAUGCAUUUAGUGUAAAUAAAUUUUAAAAUUCACAAAAACUUUUACUUUUUGCCAAACUGAUAGGUAAAAAUGGUAUCUAUCUGUUGCUUUGAACCGUAUCUCAGCUUUUCCUAUGUUGACGAGACACUGUAUUUCUGUUCCUAGGAAUGGCCUGUUCAUAUCCUUUGCCCAUUUUUCUACUGGAUUAUCACUCUUUUCCAAUGGCUUUAAACUAUGUCAAUUAAGUCCUAUGAAAAUGAGUCAUGUACAUUGAAAACAUGUUUUCACAGUAUUUCAUUAUCCUUUUGUUUUGUACAUGACACUUAGGGUCCACACAGGUUUUUGUUUUGUUUUAUUUUUAAUCAAUUGAGCUUUUCCUUUAUUCUUGGAGAACCUGACUCCGCUCUCUCUCUGCGCCAGGACUGUGGGCCCUCUCUCGGAUUAGCAGCAGGCAUCCCAUCCCUGGUGGCCACAGCCCUGCUGGUGGCUUUGCUAUUUACUCUGAUUCACCGAAGAAGAAGCAGCAAUGAGUCUGCCGAGGAAAGUGAGAGGCCAUGUGAAAUUUCAGAAAUCUAUGACAGUCCCAGGAUAGCUGAGAAUCCUAGGAGGGCACCCACACACGGGAAGAAUAUGAUGGGAUCUGAAGAAUCUCACAUAUAUGUGAAGACUGUAGCAGGAAGCGAGGAGCCCAUGCAUGACACUUACCGUCCUACUGAAGAAAUGGAGAGAAGAAGGGGAUUGUGGUGGCUUAUGCCCAGACUGAGCUUGGAAUGAUGUGGCUCAGCCAAAGAGCAGAUCUGGUGCUGGAACAGAGCUGAAAACCCAGGGAUUUAUGCUUGAGUGAGGAGAGAUGCCAAACUGCUUCUUAACCAAUCUCAAUUUCAUUGACAGAUCUGGAAAACUUUUGGGUUGAUUUGUCUCUUUAGGGAACAGAUCUGCAAAGGUUCAUUCCAACUCUCAGAUCUUGUGGUUUAAUAAGCAGUAAAGCACAAAGUGUGGUCACUGUGCAUCCAGAAGGAGCCUUUGGAUCCUGUUCCUGACCCCAGUGGGAAUUCGCUUUUCUUUGUGAUUUUGGGAAAGGGACUUGAUUUCUGAGUGUCUUGCCUUCUCAUCUUUUUUCACAUCCUUUUCCUCAAAAAAGUCAUCAGACCUGGAUUCCAUGGGAGAGUUGACCAAGGCCAACAUGGGGUACAAAUUGGGACAUAAAUGAAGCUUACAGGGAAUGUGCAAGGGGAAGCAGUUCCUUGUUUCUGAACAUCUCAGGGUAGAAAUCAUGUGGAACCACACAGUCCCUGACCACAGGUGCAGCAUGUGACUGGAUCAUUCAUUGCUCCACCUGGGUCUGUGAUCAGAGAGUAUUCAAGGAAGGCAAUUCUGCAAUGAACUGUGUGUGUGUUGAGGGUCAGUAGGGUAGAAGGAAGGCAGAGGUUUCGAAAGAUUAUUAGAAAUGAUGGCUAUAUCCAUUUUGUGGGAUUAGAGAGAAAGGUCCAAGUCCUUGGACUAUCAUGGGGAAAAACUCACCGGCAGGAAGAGAGAUCAAGAGGACUCUGAGUGGAUGAACACAGGACCAAAGGGGUGGGACAGGUAGUAAUGUGCCUGCCACCUGAGGGAAGCCCGUGGACAGCGUCAGCCAGCUGGAGGCAGGCCUUCACCAUUGCUUCUGUGAGGAAUCCUCCAGGAAUCCUGGUUCCUCCACAUAGGGCCAUUGCUCAUGAGUAGGCUGGGUUUCCUGGUGGGAGAACCUGGGUUCAGGACCUCUUGGGGUUCAUCCACCAGCUCCAUGCACCACCAUGAUAAGCUGUAGAAACAUUCCUUUCUCACACAGGACCUCUGAUUGCUCAGAAACACACCCCCUCUUCUUCAAAUAACCAAGAAUAGGUUCUACAAACUCAAUCACUGCCAUGUGCCAACACCUGAUUUUCAAAACCCCUUGUGAAAUUCAAUUUUGCGCUAAGUCCCCUAGGUCCAGUCACCUUGACAAGCAAAUGUGGCCAUUUUUAAGCAGAUGUGCCCAGUGAUCCAGGUGCUUGUACUUCUCUUACAUGUUGGGAAGGACCUUGAAUUUGCUGAGAACUUGACUGUGGCCUUGGUCUUGACACUUAUAAGUUCAAGCCCUGGGGCAAAUUGUUGACCCGCAGAAGCUUCGAUUCUUCCCUUACGAAAUGGAGAUAGCAGUUCUCAUCCUUCCACCCCCAGGGUGGUUGUGAGGAUUGAAACACGCAUGUGAAUAAAGCUUGUAGUCUAUAAGGUAAUGUGUGACUUGUAUUUUGGAUCAUUUAUUUUUAUUCCACUUAUAAUUCAUUGCUCAGAGUCUUUAUUUCAAAUUGUUUCUACUAAAAUAGCAAGAUUCAGUAUUCCUGUCAUUUUUUUUCCUGCUAUGAUGUGCAAGAACUUAUUUUGGAAUAAAGUGAAAAGUAAAAUGGUCAUUUUUAUAGACAUACAACACAUCUGUGGUUUCUCUUGGCCUAUAUUAAAGUCUAUGACAUUGGCCCUGGGGUUGGAAUCAAGGUUAUCCCGGGGAUUUUUCUGGUGCUGGCUCUCUCUGGGGCUGAUGAGGGAGGUGUUCAUUUCUUCAUUUAGGGCAGCCUGUGUUGUGGGAAACUACAGGGACCAGAAGUCAGAAGCUGUAGCUCUCUGACCCAGGGCUGGUACGAGCUUAGGGAUGACUCUGGGCCAGUCGCAUUUUAUCUCCUUUCUUCAUGUACCACUUGGUGUUUGGGUUGGCUUGUCUCUAAGGUUAACUCCACCCAGUUCAAACAUUCUAACUUUGAUUUUCCAAAUUCUGCAAAGUAGGGCCUCCCCUUCCGCCUCCCUGCUCACCGCUCCCGUCAGCACAGCCUUCUGGACCUUGCAAAGUCCUUCUCAGCUCUUGGCUUUGGAGGUGGAGAGAGAGACUUAUUUCUCCUGUAUCCUGCCAAUAGACAACAGUUUCACAUAGCUUUCCUUGUGGCAUUUAUCACUGCAAAAGCGUAAUGCCAAUUAAAGACAAAAAACAUGAAGAAUGACUAAUGUUUGAAGCAUUGUCUAUUUAUACGAUCUUGCACUCCCACCAUCCUGGUGGAAAUUAUUGAUUAAUGCAUGAGUUAAUUUAACAAAUGGGCAUUGGCUUCCCUCAUGUGUCAGACCAUCUGCCGGGUCCUAUGAUAAGAUUGGAGACAUAAUGAAGAGGCUAAAGGCAACUGGGCUUUCCAGGAAAUGUCUCUCUACCAAAUGAACAUGGAGUCUCCUAUCCACUCAAGGAAACACUAUUAGGAAAGCUUUCAUAGAGGUGCUUUCCUUCUAGACUCAAAGACACAAAACAGACUCUUUCUUCCUUCUGGGCUCAAAUGAAAGAAGAAUCUACACUCUCUUUUCUUCGUUUUCCUUUACCUGAAGUUGUAGAAGGAGAGAUGGGCCUGACCCUUCCUGCCGCAGGGCACUCCGAAUGACUGAAGACCGAAAAGCCUGGUUAUGUCAGGGAAUACCUCAAAAUGCUGUGCCUACAAGAGAAACUCAGAGAAGGCUCUCUCUCCUCCACUCUGUAAUGAGGCUACCUCAACUCCAAUAAGUCAAGAGGUGUCAAAAAUACCAAAAUUGGGCAUGUGAGAGUGGGGAAGAAUUUGUAAGAUGGCUGAGUCUGUCCCAUAGGCUAUAGGAAGAAUUUGAAAACUGAUGGCGGCCUUUGAAGGACAGGCCACGUGUAACUUGGGGCUUAAAACUGAUUUGUAAUGACGGUGAAUCCAGUUCUCACAGAGUUAUGUUUGUAAGACUAAAAUGGGUUGAAAGAUUUGGCUGUGAGCGAGAACAAACCAUGAUCAAAUAAUUCUACUGGAAAUACAACUGAUUCUGUGACAAGGAAUCAGACAGUGAUUAUUUUUUCCAUUUUAUUUAUUUUCUUUUUUUCAUUUUAAUUUUUGUUUUUAUAGUAGUAACAUUGGAUAACAUUAUGUAACUUUCAGAUGUACAUCAUAAUAUAUUUCAAAUUCUGUGUAGAUUAUAUCACGUUCACCCCGCAAAGACUAAUUAUAAUCCAUCACCACACAUUCGCCUAAUCACCCCUUUCACCCUCCUCCCUACCCGUUUCCCCUCUGGCAACCAUCAGUCCAAUCUCUGUUGCUAUGUGUUUGUUGUUGUUUUAUCUUCUACUUAUGAAUGAGAUCAUAUGGCACUUGACUUUCUCCCUCUGACUUAUUUCACUUAGCAUAAUUCCCUCAAGGUCUACCCAUGUUGUCACAAAUGGCUGGAUUUCAUCCUUUCUUAUGGCUGAGUAGUAUUCCAUUGUGCACGUAUACCACAUCUUAUUUAUCCAUUUGUCCCUUGAUGGGCACCUAGGUUGCUUCCAAGUCUUGGCUAUUGUGAACAAUGCUGUGACAAACAUAGGGGUGCAUGUAUCUUUAUGCAUUUGUGCUUUCAAGUUCUUUGGAUAAAUACUAGGCAGUGGACUAGCUGGAUCAUAUGGUAGAUCUAUUCUUAAUUUUCUGAGGAGACUCCAUCCUGUUUUCCAUAGUGGCUGCACCAGUUAAAAUGUCCGUACUUCCUAAAGCAGUCUAUAGAUUCAAUGAAUCCCUAUCAAAGUUCCAACAACAUUUUUCACAGAAAUAGAACAAAGAAUCCUAAAAUUUAUAUAGAACAACAAAAGACCCCGAAUAGCCAAAGGAAUCCUGAGGAAAAAGAACAAAGCUGGAGGUAUCACACUCCCUGAUUUCAAAAUAUACUACAAAGCUAUAGUAACCAAAACAGCAUGGCACAAAAACAGACACACAGAUCAAUGGAACAGAAUCAAGAGCCCAGAAACAAACCCACACAUUUAUGGACAGCUAAUUUUAGACAAGGGAGCCAAGAGCAUACAAUGGAUAAAGGAGAGUCUCUUCACUAAAUGAUGUUGGGAAAACUGGACAGCCACAUGCAACAGACGGUGAUUAUUGCUGACUCACUGGACCAGGGAUUAUCCAUUUAUGAAGGCCAAGGUAAGACUGUGUGUUUUUGUCUUGAGAGCAAGAGAAAGCCUUGUUUGUGUCCCCUUCCUUCUAGUUCCCGCUGCUCUAACCAUAUGGGCCUCCUCUCUGCCCCUCAGAUGCCAUGGUCCCACCAGCAACACAGGCUUCCUCUCUGCUCCCCAGGCACUGGGAUCUUCCAGCUGUAAGGGCUUUCUCUCUGCUCAUUUGAUGCUAUGGUCCCUCCUGCCACAUGGGCCUUCUCUCUGCUUUUCAGACAACACAGCCUUCCACAUAUGGCCUUUGCACAUGCUGUUGAUGAGACAGAGCAGGCAGUCCAGGGAGGCCAAGGUCAACAGAAUUUAUAGGACAGAGGAGAGGAGGGAGUUGCAUGGAGACAGAACUCAGAGAUCUGUAGAGGAUUCUUCUUGAAUGUCUGACUGAGUAUUGAUCAGCACAUGCAUGUGAGGAAACUACCCAAGGCUGAGACAAGAACCACUCAAACUGUAUUAGUUUCUAAUACAGUUUUACAUUGUUCCCAGACAGCCAGAGUAGAAAACAUCAUAAUUCACCAGGCAUCAAGUAGAGUAGUAAGAAAAGUACUGCCUCAGUAGUG
Long non-coding RNA from Equus caballus (horse), 10280 nucleotides. The record is from Ensembl. NCBI's taxonomy places the organism in Eukaryota, Metazoa, Chordata, Mammalia, Perissodactyla, Equidae.